RNAcentral lists this ribosomal RNA (703 nucleotides) under Pygopus lepidopodus. RNAcentral's name for it is "partial 16S ribosomal RNA". The stretch from base 276 to 445 matches the Rfam family "Archaeal large subunit ribosomal RNA", at positions 1878 to 2091 of the family's 2987-position model. Lineage: Eukaryota; Metazoa; Chordata; Lepidosauria; Squamata; Pygopodidae. The record is from RNAcentral.
GCGUCAAAGCAUACUUCCAAAACAAAUCUAAAACAAACGAACCACCUCCUGACCUCUAACAGAGCAAUUCUAUUUCACAAUAGAAGACCUAAUGCUAAAACUAGUAAUAAGAGCCCGCUCUCCUUUCACACCCCUCAAUCAGAAAUAGAUAAACUACUGAACAUUAACAAGCUUUAAAAAAGAAAACGAUUUUUUCCAAGAGAAAAUCUACACAAUUUGUGACCCCGACACAGGAGUGAUUUAAGGACAGAUUAAAAGCCCAACAAGGAACUCAGCUAAUAGAUUCCAACUGUUUACCAAAAACAUAGCCUUUAGCCCAACAAGUAUUAAAGGUCCCGCCUGCCCAGUGACUAUUUUAACGGCCGCGGUAUCCUAACCGUGCAAAGGUAGCGUAAUCAUUUGUCUCCUAAAUAGAGACUUGUAUGAACGGCUAACUGAGAAUCUAACUGUCUCCUAAGGCCAAUCAAUGAAACUGAUCUUUCAGUACAAAAGCUGAAAUAAACACAUAAGACGAGAAGACCCUGUGGAGCUUAAAAUACACACUAUUUCUCCUCCCCACAAACCACGGAAACAACAUACGAAACAUAGUGCCUCUUUUUAGUUGGGGCGACUUCGGAAUAAAAAAAAACUUCCACGAAAGGGCCAUCCCUAUCAAGGCAAACCCGCCAAAAUAAUUUUCUUUUGACCCAGACACCUGAUCAAC